Molecule: ribosomal RNA, 253 nt
Filed under: Hoylesella timonensis 4401737 = DSM 22865 = JCM 15640
Lineage: Bacteria; Pseudomonadati; Bacteroidota; Bacteroidia; Bacteroidales; Prevotellaceae
Also listed under: 1 other name
Description: Prevotella timonensis 4401737 = DSM 22865 = JCM 15640 partial 16S ribosomal RNA
Rfam family: Bacterial small subunit ribosomal RNA
Source: RNAcentral
UACGGAAGGUCCGGGCGUUAUCCGGAUUUAUUGGGUUUAAAGGGAGCGUAGGCUGUCUAUUAAGCGUGUUGUGAAAUAUACCGGCUCAACCGGUGGCUUGCAGCGCGAACUGGUCGACUUGAGUAUGCAGGAAGUAGGCGGAAUUCAUGGUGUAGCGGUGAAAUGCUUAGAUAUCAUGACGAACUCCGAUUGCGCAGGCAGCUUACUGUAGCAUAACUGACGCUGAUGCUCGAAAGUGCGGGUAUCAAACAGG